Molecule: long non-coding RNA, 2417 nt
Organism: Gambusia affinis (western mosquitofish)
Lineage: Eukaryota; Metazoa; Chordata; Actinopteri; Cyprinodontiformes; Poeciliidae
Exons: 5
Source: RefSeq, a predicted model, not a curated record
GUUCCAUUCAGCUGAGCCUGGCCUGAUUACCUCUCUGCUCCCACCUGUGCCCCUCAGUCUCUGUUUGUCUAUCAGAUUAUCAAAACUAUGUGUUAGCAGAAUUACAGCAUUCCUUCCUUGGAGAUCAGGCACUCUUCUUGUGCCUGAUCUCGCUCCCUAUAUGAUGCAUCCAUUACAACAACAGGCACAUGACAAAUCAUGGAGAACAUCCUUUAGAAACAUCCCAGUGACUUCCUGGAGUCUGGUUUCAGCUGCCUUUAUUUGAUUGCAGCCAGACAGAAAAAGUCAACAAGCAGGCGGGCGUGUUGUUUCUGAAUGGAGAAGUAGCAAAGAAUAAGGAACCUCCAGGUGUCUCGUCCUGUGCUGCUCUACUACACCACUGUGAACCAGAACAGGAGUUCACUCUGAAGUCCUGAAUUACUUCAGCCUUGGAGAGGAGGAGGAGCUCCCCUGUGCCUCCCAAUGAAGUCCUGGAGGUUCAACAGGAGCUGCGUCGAGGACUUAAAGGCCUCCAUUUAUGUGUCACACAUGUCACCGUCAGGCCCAGAGGCUCCACAUUAAUCAAGCUCCAAAUCUCCAAAGAGGGUCACCGGGGAAACCACCUCUGUCAGUGUUUCGACCGAGACUCCUUCAGCUACUCCACUCUGCUGACACUGAUGGUUUCACUGUGUACAUCCAACCCACUCAGGCUGAAAACUCGACCUGGCAUUCCCCUGGAGCUGGAUUGGAAACUGGGGAGAUGGAGCACUCUGGGUCUGACAGGCAGCUCCAGAACCUUAUUCAUGACACAGUCGCAUCAAGAAAAGCAUUGGCUGAAAAAUUAACUGCUGGGAGACUUUCAGGAAUAUUUGAACCAGCAGAACAAACUGGCUUCUGGGUCGGUUAUGUUGGUAUGCAAAAUCACCUUCCAAGACUCGCUGCUGAUUUUGUCACACAGCUCUGGGCUUUGAACAAACAUUCAGAGGUUAUGAUAACACAAAAGCUACAUACUAAUUACAAAUAUUCAAAUUUUAACACAUAUUUACAAAUCUUAUUUUCUGUUUUCGCAAGCAAUGGUUUUGCCCCCUACUACUUAAGUCAAAGUGGGCAGUUAACUUAGCCUCUCAGAAGGGAAACGCUUUGCAGCCUUGUAAGCUAACUAACGCACUCAACAUGUUAACAUAAGUGAGUGUUCGUCAGCGUAGACAGGGUUAGCGUCUGCAUAGAGAUGAGAUUUAAGUAAUGUUCCCAGGUCCACUUUAAGAUUUGCGGAAAUUCUGUUUCAUCAACACACAAAUCCAUGUAAGCCUGGAGAUCAAAUUAUGUAUGCUACAGUAUAAUGUCAGUUAAUAGGGAUGUUGGAAUUUAUCGUGUAUGUUGCAAAGUGUCUAACGUGUAAAUGAAAGGCAGCUGAGUGGAGCAAGUCAAAGUUUAAGGCUGGAACAUUACUUGAUCUGAACGUUAAAAAAUCCACCAUAAAAAAUGAGAUGAACCAUGUAAAGGUUUAUGGCUGCAGGUGUAGCUCCACUCAGUCCUGUCCUGUUAUUGGUGUAUAUCAUUGUUGAUUACAGAUUUGUUGGAAAUCCUUAUUUGAAAUCUAAAAUAGUUAAUUGUUUUCUGGUUGGAGAUCAAGUGUCUUUUAGAAAGCUUUCCCACCAAGCUUUCAGUGCAUCAUGUGCUCUGUUUUGGGCUUUAUUAGGUUUAUGACAUUUAUGUGUUUGCAUAUGUGUGACAGAUGUUGACAUCUAAUCUACAAAUUCUGAAAAUUUAUGGAAAACGUUUCUGCUAAAGUUGUUAGCACAUCUUAGAUUUCUCACCAUGUCUUUAUUCAGUAAUAUAGAAUCUCUGUCUUUUGUGAUAUUUUAGAGUGUUAGAUGUUUAUCUGUCAAACGGAAGUCAACAGUUUCCAGGAAAUCUAAUUACUUUGACUCAUAGUUCCACAUUCAACAAAGUCAUUACCAAACCCAGCGUUCCAUGUAAUCUCCUCUUUCCAUUGUGACAAAUGAAAAAGUCUCACAUUGAGUGUGGUUAUUGCUAUAUUCAUAGGCACAUUAUCCAUGCAACAAAGCAAGAAAGACACUAAUAGCUUUAUGUGGUGCAUCAUUUAUGCACAAUGCAGCCUAAUCUUGUAUAAUCCACCAGUUAAUUGUUUCUCUAACACUAUAAAUCCUGAAACACAAAAGGAGUCUGUAUAGCCACACAUGAUGCUGUAUGUUGAUGUGUGUUCUUAUGAUUCUAGAGGUCUUCAGCAGAAUGUGUUCAUGGUGAGGCCCACCACACCUGAUAUCCAUCUUUAAUCACAGUAGUGAUUCAGUACAACUCCUUUUAUAGGCGACCAGUUGCCCAGCACAGCAUAUUUAAAUUGACAAAAUGUCUACGGUAAAUGUGUUUCGCCUAAUAACUACACAGGUCAUUUUACAUUCUUUAUUUAAGCUAUA